Long non-coding RNA from Cervus elaphus (red deer), 724 nucleotides. RefSeq lists it as uncharacterized. The record is from RefSeq and is a predicted model, not a curated record. The transcript is spliced from 2 exons. Lineage: Eukaryota; Metazoa; Chordata; Mammalia; Artiodactyla; Cervidae.
AGGUGGAAGGAAGAAGAAAAGUCUGAACAAGGAUCAGGAGACAUUGUAUUAGGAGGAUAUGGCCCAGAGUGGGCCGAGAGUAUUUGAGAAGUAGAAGGGGAUUCACAGAGAGCGAAGAGCAAAGAAAGCCUGAACAGAAGGGACUUCUAACCACUUGCCAUUGCGGCAGCAGAAGUUAUCGCGCUCCGGUAGAGUAUUAGAAUCAAGAGUUCCCUUUUCUGGCCACUGGGACCUGUUAUCAAGUCGGUUUUGCGGCCAGUGUUAGAAUAGUGAUUUCUUACUCAUCAUGUUGCAAGCCUGGGAAUCAGCAAACCAAGCCUUCAGAGGAUGCAAACAGAAGGCCUGAGAAACAGCAGGUUAAUCAGAAAGAAAACAGAAGGUGUAAUGCCCUAUUCUAGGGGAUCUUCCUGACCCAAGAAUCAUCAAACCCCUGUCUCUGUUUCCUGCAUUGGCAGACAGGUUCUUUACUGCUAGCACCACCUGGAAAGCCUGCAUAUAAAAGGAGAAGUAAACAAGAGAGCGUAUAGCCCAAGGUUAUGGAACUUAAACACUGUCAGAUUUGGGUUUUUGUAGAUAUCCUGGGGGAAAAAAAAAUAGCAGCAUUGAAUAGGAUUUAUGUAUAAACAUAGAGAAUAUUUGAUCUCUGAUAAAUUUUUAGUACUCAGUAAUCUAAAACAAAACAAAAAAGGAAAAGCUUAAGAAAAGAAUAAAGAAUGAUAAAGAA